RNAcentral lists this ribosomal RNA (840 nucleotides) under Hysterothylacium aduncum. RNAcentral's name for it is "SSU rRNA". It matches the Rfam family "Eukaryotic small subunit ribosomal RNA", at positions 441 to 1289 of the family's 1831-position model. The record is from RNAcentral. Lineage: Eukaryota; Metazoa; Nematoda; Chromadorea; Rhabditida; Raphidascarididae.
UUACCCACUCUCGGCAUGAGGAGGUAGUGACGAAAAAUAACGAGACCGUUCUCUAUGAGGCCGGUUAUCGGAAUGGGUACAAUUUAAACCCGUUAACGAGGAUCUAUGAGAGGGCAAGUCUGGUGCCAGCAGCCGCGGUAAUUCCAGCUCUCAAAGUGUAUAUCGUCAUUGCUGCGGUUAAAAAGCUCGUAGUUGGAUCUGCGCCUCAGGACCUGGUCCGCCCACUGGGUGAGAACUGGGCUCCUGGGCUAGUUCUGCUGGUUUUCCCUGCGUUGCCUUCAUCGGUAGCGUAGGGUGGCUAGCGAGUUUACUUUGAAAAAAUUAGAGUGCUUCACGCGGGCUUAUGUCUGAAUACUCGUGCAUGGAAUAAUAGAAUAGGAUCUCGGCUCUAUUUUGUUGGUUUUCUGAUCUGAGAUAAUGGUUAAGAGGGACGGACGGGGGCAUUCGUAUCGCUGCGUGAGAGGUGAAAUUCUUGGACCGUAGCGAGACGCCCGACUGCGAAAGCAUUUGCCAAGAAUGUCUUCAUUAAUCAAGAACGAAAGUCAGAGGUUCGAAGGCGAUCAGAUACCGCCCUAGUUCUGACCGUAAACGAUACCAACUAGCGUUCCGUCGGCGGUAAAUACGCCUUGACGGGCAGCUUCCCGGAAACGAAAGUCUUUCGGUUCCGGGGGAAGUAUGGUUGCAAAGCUGAAACUUAAAGAAAUUGACGGAAGGGCACCACCAGGAGUGGAGCCUGCGGCUUAAUUUGACUCAACACGGGAAAACUCACCUGGCCCGGACACCGUGAGGAUUGACAGAUUGAUAGCUCUUUCUUGAUUCGGUGGUUGGUGGUGCAUGGGC